This is a long non-coding RNA of Rosa chinensis, 518 nucleotides long. RefSeq lists it as uncharacterized. Lineage: Eukaryota; Viridiplantae; Streptophyta; Magnoliopsida; Rosales; Rosaceae. The transcript is spliced from 2 exons. The record is from RefSeq and is a predicted model, not a curated record.
GUAACUGAAGUGUCUAAAAGUUUUUGUUGAGUGUAUUUGAUUUUCUUCCAACAGUUACUCCCAUUUGGAUUCAGUUGGCAUGCCAAGUUUCCGAAAUGGGUGCAAUUUUGCAGCUGGAGGGGCUACUACACUUCCAGCAACUGCAACAACUGUCUGCCCCUUUUCAUUUGGGAUUCAGGUCUCUCAGUUUUCGCAAUUCAAAGCCCAGGCUCUUCAAUUGCUAGCUGCUAAAGCGACAGCUCCUCAAAUGAGAUGCCAAACAAGCUGUUUCCUGCCGCCAAUUAGGCAACUGACAUGACAGAAUCAACCGAGGACACUUCUGAGGAGUUAAUGUAAAGUAGUUGGUUCUAACUGCAAACAUAUAAAAUUUUUGCUCGAGUCUAAUCAUAUUUUGCUAAAGUAGUUGGUUAGCAUCUCUUAUUUUGAAAUUCGUAAAUACACAUCUGGUCAAGAUACCAGAUUUUGGAAUCUGUAACACGAUACUAUCUUCCAUUAUAUAAUACAUCUAAUGUUUGUAA